This 207-nucleotide ribosomal RNA is filed under the name uncultured bacterium. RNAcentral's name for it is "partial 16S ribosomal RNA". It matches the Rfam family "Bacterial small subunit ribosomal RNA", at positions 568 to 774 of the family's 1533-position model. The record is from RNAcentral.
AGCGCAGACGGCACUGCAAGUCUGAAGUGAAAGCCCGGGGCUCAACCCCGGGACUGCUUUGGAAACUGUAGAGCUAGAGUGCUGGAGAGGCAAGCGGAAUUCCUAGUGUAGCGGUGAAAUGCGUAGAUAUUAGGAAGAACACCAGUGGCGAAGGCGGCUUGCUGGACAGUAACUGACGUUCAGGCUCGAAAGGCGUGGGAGCAAACA